AGUGAACGCUGGCGGUAGGCCUAACACAUGCAAGUCGAACGGCAGCACAGUAAGAGCUUGCUCUUACGGGUGGCGAGUGGCGGACGGGUGAGGAAUUCAUCGGAAUCUACUUUUUCGUGGGGGAUAACGUAGGGAAACUUACGCUAAUACCGCAUACGACCUACGGGUGAAAGCAGGGGAUCUUCGGACCUUGCGCGAUUGAAUGAGCCGAUGUCGGAUUAGCUAGUUGGCGGGGUAAAGGCCCACCAAGGCGACGAUCCGUAGCUGGUCUGAGAGGAUGAUCAGCCACACUGGAACUGAGACACGGUCCAGACUCCUACGGGAGGCAGCAGUGGGGAAUAUUGGACAAUGGGCGCAAGCCUUAUCCAGCCAUACCGCGUGGGUGAAGAAGGCCUUCGGGUUGUAAAGCCCUUUUGUUGGGAAAGAAAAGCAGCAGGUUAAUACCCCGCUGUUCUGACGGUACCCAAAGAAUAAGCACCGGCUAACUUCGUG
This 492-nucleotide ribosomal RNA is filed under the name uncultured bacterium. Its description in RNAcentral is "partial 16S ribosomal RNA". It matches the Rfam family "Bacterial small subunit ribosomal RNA", at positions 29 to 507 of the family's 1533-position model. The record is from RNAcentral.